Molecule: RNA transcript, 9081 nt
Organism: Dryobates pubescens (Downy woodpecker)
Lineage: Eukaryota; Metazoa; Chordata; Aves; Piciformes; Picidae
Gene: SFPQ
Gene name: splicing factor proline and glutamine rich
Exons: 12
Source: RefSeq, a predicted model, not a curated record
UUAGGGACGGACAAAGGCGGCGGCGAGGCCGAUCAGCUCGCCGCCAUUUUAAGCAGCGGGCUCUGAGGAGCAGCAGUUGCGGCCGGAGCAGCUCUUUAAUUCCUUUUCCCUCCGCCACCACCAUGUCGCGGGAUCGGUUCCGUAGCCGUGGCGGCGGUGGAGGCGGCUUCCACCGGCGUGGCGGCGGCGGUGGCCGUGGCGGCCCUAACCACGAUUUCCGAUCUCCACCGCCCGGCAUGGGCAUGGGCCAGAAUCGCGGCCCUAUGGGGGGCGGCCCGCAGGGCCCGGGCGGCCCACCGGGUGGAGGCCCGAAGCCUGAGCCUCCGAAGCCACCUGUGUCAACCUCUGCUCCGCCUUCUUCGUCCUCUUCAUCUGCCUCUACCACGGCGGGAGCUGCCGCCAGCCAGGCCGGUCCAGGAGCGCCUCCGCCGUCCACACUGCCCGCAGGACAGCAGCAGCAGCAACAGCAGACCCCGGUCUCGACGCCCUCUUCUACUCCUUCUGGCCCUGGAGGGCAGCCGCAGCCCAAACCGAGCCCCAGCCCCACCCCCGCCGGCGGCCCUAAGAAAGGACAAGGACAAUCUCCCGGUGGCGGGCCCAAGGGACCGGGCGGCCCUCAACAGGGACCCGGAGGGCCGCACAAGGGCGGGCCGGGGCACCGCGGCGGGCCGGGCGGAGAGCCACGGGGCCGCGGGCAGCAGCAGCACCAGGGACAGCAGAGCCUCUCCUCUCAGCAAGGCUCGGCCGGUGGCGGCAGCGGCGGCGAGAAACUCUCGGACGAGGGAUUUAAAGCUAACCUCUCCCUUCUGAGGCGACCCGGGGAGAAGACCUAUACUCAGCGUUGCCGCUUGUUUGUUGGGAAUUUGCCUGCUGAUAUAACAGACGAAGACUUUAAAAGACUGUUCGCCAAAUAUGGGGAGCCAGGAGAGGUUUUUAUCAACAAGGGAAAAGGCUUUGGAUUCAUUAAAUUGGAAUCUAGAGCCCUUGCAGAAAUUGCGAAGGCAGAACUGGACGAUACCCCCAUGAGGGGCAGACAGCUUCGUGUUCGGUUUGCCACACAUGCUGCUGCUCUUUCCGUGCGUAAUCUUUCACCCUAUGUGUCCAACGAGUUAUUGGAGGAGGCUUUUUCCCAGUUCGGUCCAGUGGAAAGAGCUGUUGUGAUUGUAGAUGAUCGAGGUAGAUCUACGGGAAAAGGCAUUGUUGAGUUUGCAUCAAAGCCAGCUGCACGAAAAGCAUUUGAACGGUGUACUGAGGGAGUGUUUUUGUUGACAACCACUCCUAGGCCAGUUAUUGUGGAACCGUUGGAACAAUUGGAUGAUGAAGAUGGUCUUCCAGAAAAGCUUGCUCAGAAGAAUCCGAUGUAUCAAAAGGAGAGAGAGACUCCUCCCCGUUUUGCUCAGCCUGGCAGUUUUGAAUUUGAAUAUUCCCAGAGGUGGAAAUCUUUAGAUGAAAUGGAAAAGCAGCAGAGAGAGCAAGUAGCAAAAAACAUGAAAGAUGCCAAGGACAAACUUGAAAGUGAGAUGGAAGAUGCUUAUCAUGAGCAUCAGGCAAACCUCCUGCGUCAAGACCUCAUGAGGCGUCAGGAAGAGCUGAGACGCAUGGAAGAGCUCCACAAUCAAGAGAUGCAGAAGCGCAAGGAAAUCCAGCUGAGGCAGGAGGAGGAGCGUCGCAGGAGGGAGGAGGAGAUGAUGAUACGUCAGCGGGAGAUGGAAGAGCAGAUGAGAAGACAGAGGGAAGAGAAUUAUAGUAGAAUGGGUUACAUGGAUCCAAGGGAGAGAGACAUGAGGAUGGGUGGUGCCACCACAAUGAACAUGGGAGAUCCUUAUGCUUCUGCAGCACAGAAAUUUCCACCUCUGGGAGGUGGUGGCGGAAUAGGUUAUGAAGCUAAUCCAGGAGUUGGCCAAGCAGCCAUGAGUGGUUCUAUGAUGGGAAGUGACAUGCGUCCUGAACGCUUUGGGCAGGGAGGUGCGGGGCCCGUGGGUGGCCAGGGUCCUAGAGGAAUGGGGCCUGGAACACCGACAGGAUAUGGUAGAGGGAGAGAAGAAUAUGAAGGCCCAAACAAAAAGCCCCGAUUUUAGAUGUGACCUGUAGUUUCAUUCCAGUUUGUUUUUUGUCUGUCUUGUUUAGACACCAACUUUUUAAUUCUUGCAUUUUAGUAAGAAAGCUACGUUUUUAUGGAUGUUAGAAACUUACUGACCUAAUAUUUGUAAGUGGUCUGUUUGGGCGAGUACAACUUAAUUAUGUAAUGCAGUGUUUCAAAACAAAUUUAGCUGUUUUUUUGAUGUAUAACGUCCCUAACUUGAUGGCAGUGUACCUUGUGCCACUGAAUUCCCAAAGUGUACCAACUUUUUUUUACUGUGCUUCAAAUAAAUAGAAAACUAAAUGUAGUAACUCUUCUUGCCAUUCGUGGUUAAACGUACGAGGCUUUAAUACCACACCUUGUGCAGUAAACCCAGAGUCCUGAACAGAGGUCAAACCAGACCAGGGUGUGGAACUGGAGUGAAGAGAGAUCUCUUCCCAGAAUGCCUCUAGCCUAAGAUUGGGCCAAACAGUAGCCAAACUUUCCAGUAAGGUGCAGGUUUUUUGAGCAUUAAUUGUGCUGCAAUAAGGAAGUAAAUGCAAAUCUUGCAAGUGCUGUAAGACAAUAACCGAAGCUACGCUGCAAGCAGUGCAGUAUGUAACAUGUCCUCUUUUAGCUCUGGAUAACGGGUGGUGGGAUGGUAGCACGUAACCACCUUGGCAGUUACUGCUUUGGAAUCUUUCAAAGACUUGAAGCAGAAGUCUAGCAAUGGUUACUUUAAAAAAGACAAAAUGAUAGAAUGACUUGUAUUGGCUGACUUCAGAACUAAAGGAUUGUUAAUGUGAUAUUUAUAUGCUCUUAAGCUCUCUGCGAUUACAGGAUCUGGCCUUGCUCCGUAUUGUACCUGAAAUUGCUUGGCAAAAAGACCAGACGUGUUACUGGAGUGAUUUAAAGUUAACUUGCUUAUGUCCUCAUGCUAAUUGGGUGGACUAAUUUGCCUAGUUCAGAAUACAAUCAUUUGUAUUAUGAGGACUGCAGGAACUAUCCUUUAAAUCGUGUAGCUGGUGGGCAAAUUAUGUAAACUACAGAAAUUAGCUUGCUUGCAUGAUGGUUAUCGCUCUUUUAUUAUUGAUGUUUGGAGAUAAUGCUUCAAAAGUAGUAUCUGAAUCUGGAGUUUAAUAGUUAAUACUACACAGUGCAAAUAAACUCCCUUUAAGGUUCUUUUGUAGAAGAUUUGCUGAAUUCGUUAGCUUGCUGUUCAUUUCAUUAAGCCCCAGAAGACUCUCAAAGCAUUCUGGACUCAUUGCUAAGGUAGUUUCUUUGCUUAUUUAUUACAUUGUACCAGAGAAGCUGGGAACGUGACUUCCCAGUGUCAAAUACCUUGGUGUUAAUGCAGGAUACAUCAACCUGCUUGGCACAAAAGUAGGUAAAGUUAUUUUGGCUGUACCUUCACACCAUUCCCCAACCUACCCAGCAUUCUGUGAGUAGCUUUUUAAUCUUCCAAAGAUCUUUUUUUAUCCAUUCCUUGUGCUAAGCAUUGGCUAAUUCUAAAUUCUAUGCUAUUUUUUUUUUCUCUGUGAGUUAAAACUUCAGUAUCAGAUUUUUGCAGUAUUUGAGAGUGCAGAUGAUACGAUCCCUCUUGAAGUGCUCACUGGAAGUGCUGUUACUCCUUACAUGAAAAAGUAGCAUGUUGUGAGAAGCUGCUAUCAGGUAACACCGAGGUGGGAGUGUGAAGUGCAUUAAAGAGCAGCUCUGCUCACUUGAAGGCUUCUUAACUCUCCCAGAAAAGUUUGGGGGUUGCUAACAUGCUACCACAAUCAAUUACUAUUGAGGAAAUUCCCAAUUGGCAGUUCCCAAACUGUGGACCAAGCAUUUGGGAGUACUUGUAUUGGACACUUAGUUUGAAAAUGAGCAGUACCAAUGCAAUUUGCUUGAUUGAAGUAGUGUUAAUGAAUGCAUUUGUUUCCUGGAGGGUGUUCGUGGGACACCCGCAAAAGGUCGGCGGUGUCUUGAGAUGGGGAAUUCUGAACUUUAAACAUUAAAUUAAUUUUUUUCAGUUUAUUUUUCAGAUUACAUGUCAUUCUUUAUUAAAGAGAUGCUGGUGCAUAUCCUAAAGUAUGUUCUUUUGUAGUUCUGUAACUUGGAAGAGUGAAGGAUGCUGAUGUCCUUGUACCUUACAGAGGUUGUCUUUUGGUACCCCCUGUUUUGUACGUAAGCUACCGUUGCUAGGUAUCAAAAAUAGCUGAGUUGCAAAACCAUGCUGAGUAACUACCCUGCAAGAUUUGGCAGUUUUCAAAACAUCAGAAAGUUGGGUUAAAUCUAGCUUUGUUGGGAGCUGCAGAAGCAGAGCUUCUAAAACAAGUUCUGCUUUGAGUUGGAUGUAUUAAAACAGGCAUACAAUGAACUAGCCAACUUCUUCACAAGACCUUUUAAAGGUGGUGUCUUUAAAAGCUGGCAAACAUGUCAACUUGAAAAUCUGCUAAAGCUGCUAAAUGUGGGAGGUGAGAAAGUUAAGUUCCUUUGCUCUGUUCCUAGGAGGUUUUGGACUCUCUUUUUUAAAUCUAAAAUCAGAUUGGUAGAAUUGAAGCUUUUAAAAAAAAUCAAAACAUAAACAUGUUUAGAGAGGUGCUUUGUUGGUCAGACCUGGUUUUGGAUGGUCUGAAUCACAUAACCACAUUUUUGUACUGGACUUGGAGGACAUUGGCUGUUGCAAUUUAGCUUGCUUUAUCAAAAUUGAGCCCAUUUUGACACUGGGAUCUCUAAAAACUGCAGCAUGUAGAAAGUGGUAUCAUUACACACCUAUCUUCAUGCUUUCUCAGGAAUGAAUACAGAAUAAUCUCUUCUGGUGUAGACACAUUACACUAAUCAUUCAUAACAGCUGAUGAGAAACUGCAACUGCUUUUGAGAUUUUGUGGUAUUUUUGUGGUAGGAAAAAAAAAAAUCUUGGCUUCUCCUUGGCAACCAUUUAUUGUGGCAGCAAGUUUUUGCUGGAGUUUGAGACUGCAAUUUACACUUUAAAAAAGCCCCAAACUAGUGGCCUGCUACAUAACUGCACUUAGCCAGCAUUUCUGCAGUUCAUAACUGUGAGGAACGUAGUCCCACAAAUGGCAAUGGACAUUAGGACCCGGAUGUAGUAUUCCUGCUUGCUCCAAGAUUCUCAUUGCCGACUGCGUACAGGUAGGUAACAAGCAAUAUCAUCUAACUUGGUGACUUUCUAUGUAAUCUUAUACCUGUGGGUAUUCUGACAUCACACUUCUGACUGUGGAAUUACAGUGCAGCACUCUCCAUACCUGUAUAUGUUGAGCUUGCAGCAAAGCCGCGUGGUUUUCGGUUUGAAGCUUUGUCUUGUUCAGAGGCAACAAGCAACUGGCUGUGGUUCUCAGAUGAGCGUUUUCAGACCCGAUUCCUUUGUGCAUAUCAACUCGGCUUGUGUGGCUUUCUUAGUUCUGAUGUAACCGAGGUAUUCUUAGAUGAGCUCUGUGGGGAAGAGGGAAUGUGGUCUUAGACUUGAGCUCAACUAGUCACCUAGGUGCUGUCAGUACCUAGAAAAGGACUGUUUAUGCUCUCUCUAGUGACCCAGUGGCCCAUCCUCAGCACAUCCCUCUGUAGGGUCCUGGCUCGGUAGGAAAUGCUUUAGAAUCACUGCUCUGGCCUCGGGUGCACUCCCAGCCUGCUAAUACAGACAGCUUGGAGACUGGUGGGGAGUAUUGUUUUUUUUGAGGACAAACACGUGAGUGCUUGAAUAUCCCUGUGAGCAGUUUCUCAGAGCUUAUUGGACAUUCCAGUUGUCUAUUUUAAUCCUUGACUGACAAGCAUAAUGCAUUCUUCUGCCUUUAAUUGACAGUGGUGAGGUUCUGUAUUUCUGCAUCAUAGGCUCAUCUUGGUAGUGUAAUGCUCAAUUUCAUUUUUCAUCAGUCUUGGGGAUGUAAUUCUAAACUCUUCAUUACUAGGAGCACUGAAUGUAGUGUUUCAGGAUUAUUAACAUGCUUUAUGUUUCCAGACAUCCAGACAUGCUGAUCUGCAGAUCUUUUGCAUUAGCUCUUCAACCUGAAUUUCAAGGUCCCUUGUUUUCAGCACAUGAUCUCUAGCUCUUGUCUGAUGCUUAGUUUGUUUCAGAGGUGGUGUAAUGUGUUUCCCUCCUUGCUCUGCAAAGUUCUGCUUUGCAUUCUUAUUUCUGGUAUUACUGUCAUGUUUGGACCCUUCUGUGUCAUCUUCCAGGCACGAUUCUUGCUGGUGAACGCAGGAUCUGCUGGAGAGCCUUGCCCUGCUCUAAUUAUCUUCUUAUGUUCCAUUGAAAGCCUGAAGCAGCAGCUGCACCUUAAGAUCAGAACAGCAGGUCUUGGGUUACACCACAGUGAGUGUAGCCAAACUCCAGCUAGUCAAGCAGUGACACCACUGUCACAAGUCAGUUUGGCUUCUUGGGGUGGCUUUACUCUUACCUGUGACUAGGGCUUCAGCAGCAAAACCAGUGGCAGCCUGCAUGGUGUCACCUAGCAAAACUGCAGUGGUAAACUCUAACCCAGUGCUCAGACCUGACUAGUUACUCCAGUGUGCUCCGGAUACUUGACCUGCAGGAAUGUUGUGGAGGGGUUAUUGGCACAUCUGCCUUGUUCUACAUACUUGAACCUAGCAGUUUUUUGACACUCUUGGAGCAAGCAAUUUGUGACUGAACCGUGGGUCUCAUACCAGCUCUGACUGUCUGCAGUAAUGAAACUUGGUGUGGUAGCUAACUUUAAAAGCAAAUAGCUAUGUCUGCUCUAAAUCAGUCUGUAACAAGUGGGUACAAGUAAUGACAUUAAAGUGCUUGCAUUGUGUUUCAUCUUGGUUUUAUCCCUGUAUUAUGAAAAAAUACUUUUUCUCAAAAGCUUACCUGAAGCUCAGAAGUGUGGUGUCAGAAUACAUUUGCGUACCUGCUAGGCCCUCAGAUCAGGUACUGGUGCUGUCAGGAGAGCCCAGCACAGCGUGGAUGGGGGCUUUACUGUAACAUUUAAGCAUACACAGUGUUGAUUUGCUUGCAGUUCUCCCCAUAGCUAAACACUGAGGCCUGUGAGUAGUUUAGGACUCGAGCAGUACUGGGGUUGCAUGUCUCUGUUAAUCAUUGCCAGCUGCAGUGACAGGAUCAGGAAGGCCAGUGGCUUGUUCCAUUAUGUUAAAUGAGGCUAAGUAUGUUGGAAAGGAUACAUUCAAAGUAUGCUGCUCUGGGUUAAUGACUUGCCUUCUUCCACUUCCUAGCAAGUUUGGAAUCAGCUAAUUAGCUUCAGAUACAUUUUUUUCUCUUCUCCUCAUACCAGCUAGUGGGGCUGUUAAAUAGCUGCUUACUGGAAAAGGAAAAAAAGGGAGGAUUGGCCUUUUCCCACCUCUGUCAUUGCUGCUAGAUAAUGAUUGACAUGUUAGGACUUGGCUGUGCAAUCCCGCAGUGGUCUGUGAAUACCCCAUCUCUAUAAAUGUUGCUUCUGAACACCAGUACUGAAGAGCUAACUGGGGAGGGCUGGGAGAAGUGUGGCUAUAAGUGAAUCUGGAGUGUUAAAAAGGAUGCACAAAGAUAUAGUAUCCCUUAUGCAUGGUGUUUGUUGCUAUGACAUAGAAAACAAAACGUGCAUACUCUGCUGCUCCUGAGGGCCGUGAUAAAACCCAGGUGGCGGGUCUGAGACUAAACUUUGAACUUGGCCCCUCCUGGUCAGAUCACACUGUGACCAUGGUGUGAUUUGUCUCCCUACCAGAGGUGUGCACAGAACCUCACACUGCACCCCUGGCUGCUGCCCAUUGCAGUUCACCCUUGACUUAGCUGCAGCAAAAGGGUGGGGUGGGUCUUCAGAAGGAAAGAACCUUGCUAAGAACAAAAGCUGUGACUGACAGUGCUGACCUCCAGUGUCUUCCUUUGGCUUUUGAAGCACUUGUAGGACUACAGGAGUCAGGGACACUGCACUCCUUUGUGAAGGGGAGGAAAGGAGACAAGAUUAGGGUGAAAAGAGUUGAAGUAGCUUGACAAAAUUGUGAAUGCCUUCACAUAAGGGAUAGUAUACCUCUGGCUGCCAUCAAACCUCACUGUAUCAGACUGGUGGUUACGGUUUGUGCUCAGACAAGGUGCAGUUCUGCAGUCAACUACCUGCAUAUUUCUUCAUCUCUUCAUGAGUGCUCAGGCUAGCCUAUUUCUGCCCCUUAUUUCUUCCACUUAGUCUUUUGGAAUAAUCUGUAAAUUUCCCCCCACACAUACACCUUGUAACUAAUCAGUCCAUGUAUCUUAAAACCUUGAUUUUUAAGUUAGUUUUGAAAUGGUCAGAUUUUUUUGUGUAUUACCUUAAUAACUUCAGUUGUUAUCCUUUAGGUGAAGAUGAAAGCUGAGUGAAACUGGAGUGCUCAUCCAUGGGAACUCAGGAGCAGAGCGUGAGCACAUCCAGCAUGAUGCCCAGUGGUAUAUGGAGGGACCAGGACAACAUGUGGACAAGUAAGUAGUUGGUGUCCUGCCUGUUGCCUAUCAUCCUGUGAUGUAUUGUGCAGCUCCUGCCUGAAAUUUGCCCUUGAUUCAUCUCAAUGUUAUAUAAAACAGUUGAAUCUUUCUUUUGUAGAGCCAAGAUAGAACCAUUGUUUGAAGCUUUUCAGCCCUGCAGCAUCAAAUAAACUGUCCUCUAAAUGCUGUAGGUGGUCAAAGGAGAAAUAGCCAUGAAUGGGGUGGGUGAUGGUCAGCAAGGAGAAAGGGGAACAAUAGAGCAGCUGCUUCUUAGAUGUUAAUUCAACUGAAAGCUGUUGAAAAACCUGCUUUUCUGAAAUGUUUUUUCUGAACAUUGAACUUUCAAAACAACCUGGACUAUAAAUCAGCACUUAGAAAAGCACAGGCAAAUAGAAAUUUAGGGAAACCGACUUGUGGAGCUGGAAUUAAUGUAAUUUUCCCUCUAAUUUACCACUGAAACUACAAGGGGGAACUGCAGAUAUUUAAAAUCUUGUGAGGACCACCACCCAAAGUACCUAAACUGAGGAGCUGAGGGAGGAAGAUGGAGUCUGAAUGCAGUGAAGAGGAGCCAGGAGCAUCCAGCUUCUAAAAUUAAAUAAAAUAUUUAUUUUUU